Bradysia coprophila is the source of this 585-nucleotide long non-coding RNA. RefSeq lists it as uncharacterized. The record is from RefSeq and is a predicted model, not a curated record. NCBI's taxonomy places the organism in Eukaryota, Metazoa, Arthropoda, Insecta, Diptera, Sciaridae.
CUCCGUUCAGUCGUUGCAUAUCGGUCUUACAGACGGCAUUAUUGCAACUGUGAGUUGAAGGUUUUGUUACUUGUUGUUGUUGUACUUUAAAAUUUGCAAUGAAAUCGACGACAAAGACCAUUUUGCAUUGGUUUGUGGUGUCAAAUGCAACUGUGAUAUUUAUUGUUUCAACAAUCUGCAUAGUUUUUGCUUUAUUCGAACCCUACGACCCUUUCGUUCUUCUAUUUGUCAUAUGUAUGAGCAUACCGACAAUCACUAAUGGUCUACUGUUAUAUGGAAUUUACAAGAAAUCGGCGGCUUUCAUCUCUCCAUGGCUUCUAUGCAGUUUCGUUGUCAUGGUAUUUAUGACCCAUUCCAUAAUUAGAACUCUCCAAGCAAUUAUGAAGGAAGAAGCGAGCUAUAUUUUCAUGCAAUCAGCUGCGUACAUUUAUUCUGUCUGCUUGACCAUUGCCGUUACGAUUUAUUACCGACAAAUUAAAUAUUAUCAGUUCGAACCUAUGCUACUAGUAGAGACGAAGGAAUAUUAUUGAACAUUUUACAGAUGCUCUCGAAUUUAGAGAAUGAAUAAAUAUUUCCAGACAUAAA